GAUGAAGAACGCAGCGAAAUGCGAUAAGUAAUGUGAAUUGCAGAAUUCAGUGAAUCAUCGAAUCUUUGAACGCACAUUGCGCCCGCUAGUAUUCUGGCGGGCAUGCCUGUCCGAGCGUCAUUUCAACCCUCAAGCCCCCGGGCUUGGUGUUGGGGAUCGGCGAGCCUCCGCGCCCGCCGUCCCCUAAAUCUAGUGGCGGUCUCGCUGUAGCUUCCUCUGCGUAGUAGCACACCUCGCACUGGGAAACAGCGCGGCCACGCCGUUAAACCCCCAACUUCUGAACGUCUGACCUCGGAUCAGGUAGGAAUACCCGCUGAACUUAAGCAUAUCAAUAAGCGGAGGA
Molecule: unclassified non-coding RNA, 343 nt
Filed under: soil metagenome
Description: partial contains 5.8S ribosomal RNA, internal transcribed spacer 2, and large subunit ribosomal RNA
Rfam family: 5.8S ribosomal RNA (bases 1-120)
Source: RNAcentral